Molecule: ribosomal RNA, 425 nt
Filed under: uncultured bacterium
Lineage: Bacteria
Description: partial 16S ribosomal RNA
Rfam family: Bacterial small subunit ribosomal RNA
Source: RNAcentral
GUGGGGAAUCUUAGACAAUGGGCGCAAGCCUGAUCUAGCCAUGCCGCGUGAGCGAUGAAGGCCUUAGGGUUGUAAAGCUCUUUCGUGGGGGAAGAUAAUGACUGUACCCCAAGAAGAAGCCCCGGCUAACUCCGUGCCAGCAGCCGCGGUAAUACGGAGGGGGCUAGCGUUGUUCGGAAUUACUGGGCGUAAAGCGCACGUAGGCGGACUGGAAAGUCAGGGGUGAAAUCCCGGGGCGCAACCCCGGAACUGCCUUUGAAACUCCCAGUCUUGAGUUCGAGAGAGGUGAGUGGAAUUCCGAGUGUAGAGGUGAAAUUCGUAGAUAUUCGGAGGAACACCAGUGGCGAAGGCGGCUCACUGGCUCGAUACUGACGCUGAGGUGCGAAAGCGUGGGGAGCAAACAGGAUUAGAUACCCGUGUAGUCC